This 495-nucleotide ribosomal RNA is filed under the name uncultured bacterium. RNAcentral describes it as "partial 16S ribosomal RNA". It matches the Rfam family "Bacterial small subunit ribosomal RNA", at positions 28 to 507 of the family's 1533-position model. The record is from RNAcentral.
GACGAACGCUGGCGGCGUGCCUAAUACAUGCAAGUAGAACGCUGAAGGCGGAGCUGGCUUCUCUGGAUGAGUUGCGAACGGGUGAGUAACGCGUAGGUAACCUGCCUGGUAGCGGGGGAUAACUAUUGGAAACGAUAGCUAAUACCGCAUAAUAGUAGAUGUUGCAUGACAUUUGCUUGAAAGGUGCAAUUGCAUCACUACCAGAUGGACCUGCGUUGUAUUGGCUAGUGGGUGGGGUAACGGCUCACCAAGGCGACGAUACAUAGCCGACCGGGGAGGGGGAUCGGCCACCCUGGGAGGGAGACGCGGCCCAUACGCCUACGGGAGGCAGCAGUACGGAAUCUUCGGCAAUGGACGGAAGUCUGACCGAGCAACGCCGCGUGAGUGAAGAAGGUGUCCGGAUCGUAAAGAUCUGUUGUAAGAGAAGAACGGGUGUGAGAGUGGAAAGUUCAUACUGUGACGGUAUCUGACCAGAAAGGGACGGCUAACUACGUG